Molecule: transfer RNA, 98 nt
Filed under: Daldinia sp. FL1419
Lineage: Eukaryota; Fungi; Ascomycota; Sordariomycetes; Xylariales; Hypoxylaceae
Description: tRNA-Thr
Rfam family: tRNA
About the family: Transfer RNA (tRNA) molecules are approximately 80 nucleotides in length. Their secondary structure includes four short double-helical elements and three loops (D, anti-codon, and T loops). Further hydrogen bonds mediate the characteristic L-shaped molecular structure. tRNAs have two regions of fundamental functional importance: the anti-codon, which is responsible for specific mRNA codon recognition, and the 3' end, to which the tRNAs corresponding amino acid is attached (by aminoacyl-tRNA synthetases). tRNAs cope with the degeneracy of the genetic code in two manners: having more than one tRNA (with a specific anti-codon) for a particular amino acid; and 'wobble' base-pairing, i.e. permitting non-standard base-pairing at the 3rd anti-codon position.
Source: RNAcentral
GCCCGCUUGGCACAGCGGUAAUGCGCCUCACUAGUAUUGCAUCAAUACUAAUAAGGAAGCUUAUGAGGAGAUGACUGGUUCGACUCCAGUAGUGGGCA